Molecule: ribosomal RNA, 713 nt
Filed under: Pseudogymnoascus sp.
Lineage: Eukaryota; Fungi; Ascomycota; Leotiomycetes; Thelebolales; Thelebolaceae
Description: partial large subunit ribosomal RNA
Rfam family: Eukaryotic large subunit ribosomal RNA
Source: RNAcentral
AGUAACGGCGAGUGAAGCGGUAACAGCUCAAAUUUGAAAUCUGGCCUCACGGUCCGAGUUGUAAUUUGUAGAGGAUGCUUCGAGCAUGGUCUGGCCUAAGUUCCUUGGAACAGGACGUCAUAGAGGGUGAGAAUCCCGUAUGCGGUCAGGUGCCUACGCUCAUGUGAAGCUCCUUCGACGAGUCGAGUUGUUUGGGAAUGCAGCUCAAAAUGGGUGGUAAAUUUCAUCUAAAGCUAAAUAUUGGCCAGAGACCGAUAGCGCACAAGUAGAGUGAUCGAAAGAUGAAAAGCACUUUGGAAAGAGAGUUAAACAGUACGUGAAAUUGUUGAAAGGGAAGCGCUUGCAACCAGACUUGCGCGCGGCCGAUCAUCCGGUGUUCUCACCGGUGCACUCGGCCGUGCUCAGGCCAGCAUCGGUUUCGGCGGUUGGAUAAAGGCCUCAGGAAUGUGGCUCCUCUCGGGGAGUGUUAUAGCCUGGGGUGCAAUGCAGCCUGCUGGGACCGAGGACCGCGCUUCGGCUAGGAUGCUGGCGUAAUGGUUGUAAGCGGCCCGUCUUGAAACACGGACCAAGGAGUCUAACAUCUAUGCGAGUGUUUGGGUGUCAAACCCAUACGCGUAAUGAAAGUGAACGGAGGUGAGAACCCUUAAGGGUGCAUCAUCGACCGAUCCUGAUGUCUUCGGAAGGAUUUGAGUAAGAGCAUAGCUGUUGGGACC